ACCUACCAUUCACAGAGAACUAGAAAUAUUAAGUAGGAAGCAACAUUCAUGCAUCCACCUGCCAGUCAACCUCCGAUCAAAUUUAAGCUUCAUUCUCAUCUCUGCCAAUCAACUCUCAUUAAUUUUAAGAAUGGUACCUUCACUCUCCUCUCUCGUAUGGCAAUUCCUCUGGCUUCCAGAAAUCUCUUCGGUAUAACAGAAUCGUGGGUUAAGCAAGCACAAGAAAUUACAACAGAAAGCAAGAAAAAGAGAAGCGUACAAGAGCAACGGCAGCUACGAGGCCAUAAAGAGCGGCGAGGAUGUGAAAGAUGCGAUCCUGCCAAACUGGCGAUUCGUUUAUCUCUAUCCACCAACUGGAGGCG
This is a long non-coding RNA of Jatropha curcas, 362 nucleotides long. RefSeq lists it as uncharacterized. Lineage: Eukaryota; Viridiplantae; Streptophyta; Magnoliopsida; Malpighiales; Euphorbiaceae. The record is from RefSeq and is a predicted model, not a curated record.